This 506-nucleotide ribosomal RNA is filed under the name uncultured bacterium. Its description in RNAcentral is "partial 16S ribosomal RNA". It matches the Rfam family "Bacterial small subunit ribosomal RNA", at positions 30 to 523 of the family's 1533-position model. The record is from RNAcentral.
AUUGAACGCUGGCGGCAGGCCUAACACAUGCAAGUCGAACGGUAACAGGAAACAGCUUGCUGUUUCGCUGACGAGUGGCGGACGGGUGAGUAAUGUCUGGGAAACUGCCUGAUGGAGGGGGAUAACUACUGGAAACGGUAGCUAAUACCGCAUAACGUCGCAAGACCAAAGAGGGGGACCUUCGGGCCUCUUGCCAUCGGAUGUGCCCAGAUGGGAUUAGCUUGGUGGUGGGGUAACGGCUCACCAAGGCGACGAUCCCUAGCUGGUCUGGGAGGAUGACCAGCCACACUGGAACUGAGACACGGUCCAGACUCCUACGGGAGGCAGCAGUGGGGAAUAUUGCACAAUGGGCGCAAGCCUGAUGCAGCCAUGCCGCGUGUAUGAAGAAGGCCUUCGGGUUGUAAAGUACUUUCAGCGGGGAGGAAGGGAGUAAAGUUAAUACCUUUACUCAUUGACGUUACCCGCAGAAGAAGCACCGGCUAACUCCGUGCCAGCCGCCGCGGUAA